This 75-nucleotide transfer RNA is filed under the name Salmonella enterica subsp. enterica serovar Enteritidis str. CDC_2010K_1884. Its description in RNAcentral is "tRNA-OTHER". It matches the Rfam family "tRNA", at positions 5 to 66 of the family's 71-position model. From Rfam's summary of the family: Transfer RNA (tRNA) molecules are approximately 80 nucleotides in length. Their secondary structure includes four short double-helical elements and three loops (D, anti-codon, and T loops). Lineage: Bacteria; Pseudomonadati; Pseudomonadota; Gammaproteobacteria; Enterobacterales; Enterobacteriaceae. The record is from RNAcentral.
AGGUGGCGGAAUUGGUAGACGCGCUAGCUUCAGGUGUUAGUGUUCUUACGGACGUGGGGGUUCAAGUCCCCCCCU